GCUGCCCUGGUGGUGCCCACUGCUGCUGGUGAAUGCCAGGCCCGGGGUGACAAAACGAAAUGUGGAGAGCCGUCUGCGGGAUGGGGUGGCCUUUCCAACUGCAGAAACAGUACCAGGAUUUUGUUUGGGGGCACUGACUUCACCCUCACUCACAUGAUCCAGGCCAGGCCAAGAAGAACUUCCACCCCUUGGUCUCACUGAUGGUUUAUAUAAGGCUACAUAACCCAGUGGAGGUCGAAGAAGUCUUCAUGAGAACAACUACAACUGCUGGGAAAGAAGGGGCCCAUCCAUUCGGAGGUGAGAGAGAUGUUCCUUCCCUGACCCUACUUGAGGAUGGAUGGACAAAUAAUGGAGUGCUGGGGUUGCUGUCAGGUAGCAAUCAGGACAGCAGGUUCCUGACCUCCAAAAGAAGUUGCUUCCAUUCUACCUUCUCUUCCUGACCACUCAAGGACUCAUCCUGGUUCCUCUGGAGGUGCUGGGGAGGAACGUAAUGGAGACGGAUUCUAGGCUUAGUUCUUGCCAAAGCCCCAGUGGAAACUUAGGCAACUCAUCUCAGGGUAAAUGAUGACUAUAUCUGGUCAUCCCUUAAACAACAACAACAAAUGAUGACCUUCCUUGUUCUUCUGCCUACAAACAACAGUCAUUGAUGUUACUGUAUAUUAAACAUGCUGUACAUGGCAGGCACCUGCUGCAAGCAUUAUAUGAACCUCAUAAUUUCACCCUCCUGACGAUGCCACGAUGCAGGUGAUUACUCCCUCUCUACACAGAAGGAAUCCAAGGCUCAGAGAGGGUCUGUGAUUUGCCCAACAUCUUCAUGGCUGACCAGCUAUGUGACUGGGACAGUGAGUUAAUCUCUCUGUGCUUCAGUUUUCUUUCCUGUGGAUGGGAUAGUGAUACUGGUCUCACAGAGGCAGAGUAUAAAAUUGAAUGAGAAAAUAUGAAGUGUUCAUCAUUUCUGUUACCAUUUGGACUGACUUCUUGAAUCAUGAAAAUGGAACGGGGCUCUCUGGGAGCCUUCCCUGACCACCACCUCCUUUCUACCAAAUGGGAGAGAAGGCCCUCUGCAGUGGCCCACAGCAUUCCAUUCAGGGGUGUCUGUAGGGUCCCCCUGUGCUUAGCCUGUGUCCUGUCCUCUGCCAUGCCCCACCCUGGAGCCUAGCGCCUGGUCCACAGCUGGGGGGGUGCUCCAUGUCUAUUGGUGGCAUGAAUAAAGGCAAAAUCGUGUCAAAAUAAGAUGGUUCAAGCCCCCAUCCCAUUUUCUGUAGACACUGUUAUUUUGAUGUCCUCUCAAGUGUAGUUGUAUUUGCUUUUUCUUCUACAACUUAGUAUGCCUCAUGUAUGUAAAAAAUAAAUACGUGAUAUAAGAAGUCAUAACAACAGAAAUAAAAAUUGCCCUGACCAUCUAC
This is a long non-coding RNA of Mustela lutreola (European mink), 1406 nucleotides long. RefSeq lists it as uncharacterized. The record is from RefSeq and is a predicted model, not a curated record. Lineage: Eukaryota; Metazoa; Chordata; Mammalia; Carnivora; Mustelidae. The transcript has 3 exons.